This 71-nucleotide transfer RNA is filed under the name Loxodonta africana (African savanna elephant). It matches the Rfam family "tRNA". Rfam says of the family: Transfer RNA (tRNA) molecules are approximately 80 nucleotides in length. Their secondary structure includes four short double-helical elements and three loops (D, anti-codon, and T loops). The record is from Rfam by way of RNAcentral. Lineage: Eukaryota; Metazoa; Chordata; Mammalia; Proboscidea; Elephantidae.
ACAGUGGUAGUUCAGUGGUAGAAUUCUCGCCUUCCAUGAGGGAGACCUGGGUUCAAUUCCUGGCCAGUGCA